Populus trichocarpa (black cottonwood) is the source of this 155-nucleotide non-coding RNA. Lineage: Eukaryota; Viridiplantae; Streptophyta; Magnoliopsida; Malpighiales; Salicaceae. The record is from Rfam.
UCUAGAACUCGAGAUAUGGGCUGAAUACUGAACAGUAUCUGGGCUGCAGGACAGAUUCGGAUUUCUUCGUUGUUGCUACAAUUUGGACUUGAAAACAGCCUUGUUAAAUCUUGGACUCCCGUGAAAGUUGUAGGCCUAUGUCUUAGCUUUCCAUC